UGGAGCUAUAUACAGGAAGUACCAGAUCAAUGUGGAGCUAUAUACAGGAAGUACCAGAUCAAUGUGGAGCUAUAGACAGGAAGUACUAGAUCAAUGUGGAGCUAUAGACAGGAAGUAGCACUACCAGAUCAAUGUGGAGCUAUAUACAGGAAGUAGCACUACCAGAUCAAUGUGGAGCUAUAUACAGGGAGUACCAGUACCAGAUCAAUGUGGAGCUAUAUACAGGAAGUACCAGAUCAAUGUGGAGCUAUAUACAGGAAGUACCAGAUCAAUGUGGAGCUAUAUACAGGAAGUACCAGAUCAAUGUGGAGCUAUAUACAGGAAUUACCAGAUCAAUGUGGAUCUAAACUCAGCAAAAAAAUAAACGUCCUCUCACUGUCAACUGCAUUUAUUUUCAGCAAUCUUAACAUGUGUGAAUAUUUGUAGGAACAUAAGAUUCAACAACUGAGACAUAAACUGAACAAGUUCCACAGACAUGUGAUUAACAGAAAUGGAAUAAUGUGUCCCUGAACGAAGGAAGGGGGUUAAAAUCAAAAGUAACCAUCAGUAUCUGGUGUGGCCACCAGCUGCAUUAAGUACUACAGUGCAUCUCCUCCUCAUGAGAUUACCCCCGGACCUGCCUUACAACAGGCCUCCAAGCCCUCAGUCCAGCCUCUCCCAGCCUAUUACAGGGAGGUACCACUACCAAGCUAAAGUAGGCUCUCUUUUCUGAAAAAAAAAAAGUUGAAAGGAGACUCGCGGUGUAACGAGCACUAUGGUGAGAGCAUUGAACCCUGUUCUUUUUUUUUAAAGGAGAUUUAUGAUGAGGGCUUUAACGUUACCUGGUAACCACGGAGACAGAUCACUGUGAGGGUUUAAUAAGAUCUCUCUCACACAGCUGUCUUUUUAAAAACCAAUCCUUUGCCGAUCUCACCGUAGUAAGAAAAGGACCUUCUGCUUUAUUCAAAGUGUUCUCCUCGACUUCUGGAAUUGUUCCCCCGUCCUCUCCUCUGUCAGUUUAAUUGUCGGGUGGUGAAUAUAUUGCCCUCCUGCCUGGCAGCCUCACUGAGAAACAUUCACUCUAAUCUUUCCUGACGAGUCUCUGGUGAUUCAUAUGACUCAAGAUGAGUCAGUGGACGUUGCUGGGAUGCAGAACCAAAUGGCACCCUCUUCCCAAUGGGCCCUGGUCUAAAGUAGUGCACUAUGUAGGGAAUAGGGUUCUGGUCUAUAGUAGUGCACUAUGUAGGGAAUAGGGCCCUGGUCUAAAGUAGUGCACUAUAUAGGGAAUAGGGCCCUGGUCUAAAGUAGUGCACUAUAUAGGGAAUAGGGCCCUGGUCUAAAGUAGUGCACUAUGUAGGGAAUAGGGCCCUGGUCUAAAGUAGUGCAUUAUAUAGUGAAUAGGGCCCUGGUCUAAAGUAGUGCACUAUAUAGGGAAUAGGGCUCUGGUCUAAAGUAGUGCUCUAUAUAGGGAAUAGGGUUCCAUUUGGGACUGUGAUGGUAGACUGUGAUGGUAGAAGAGUUCUGUAUGUUCAUGACUCUCAUUAAAGAUGAAUAUAUUUGGGGUUAUUAUUAUGUUACACGUGUGUGUGUGUGUGUGUGUGUGUGUGUGUGUGUGUGUGUGAGAGAAAGCUUGUUGAAGUAAACAGAUGAGUUGACUCACCCACAGCACAGCCUUGAGGGACGGACACACACACCAUGACACACACCGUAACACACACACACACACACACACACACACACACACACACACACACAGCUGCCCAUAAUUAAGUGGGAGGCCAUGCUGUCACAGAGCUCUGCAACGAAACACAGUGUGUUUAAACAUGAAUCAACUGUUAUUAAUAAACACAAUUCAUUUACACUCUCUAAGAUAAUCAACUGUUAUUAAUAAACACAAUUCAUUUACACUCUCUAAGAUAAUCAACUGCUAUUAAUAAACACAAUUCAUUUACACUCUCUAAGAUAAUCAACUGUUAUUAAUAAACACAAUUCAUUUACACUCUCUAAGAUAAUCAACUGUUAUUAAUAAACACAAUUCAUUUACACUCUCUAAGAUAAUCAACUGUUAUUAAUAAACACAAUUAAUU
Long non-coding RNA from Oncorhynchus tshawytscha (Chinook salmon), 2066 nucleotides. The record is from Ensembl. Lineage: Eukaryota; Metazoa; Chordata; Actinopteri; Salmoniformes; Salmonidae.